AAAGCAUUUUCAGUAAUGGAUGGAGAAAUAUUAAAGUUGGUUUAUGAUACACCGGUCUUUGAAUUGAGAGAAGCUCUCAUAGGAAAAUAUGGAGAAAUCUCAAAGUUGGUUUAUGAUAUUGCUGAUAAGGGUGGGGAGCUCUGUUCUUGGAGGUCUGACUUGACAGUUCCAUUUUCUAGAUUUGCAGAUAUGGAUGGUCUGCCAUCUUUAAAAAGUUUAUUCAUUGAAGAAUCUCAAGCUGGCAUUAAAAUAUCUCCUCAAGAUAGUAGUUACUAUGGACAAAAUGAUAGAAAGUUCAUGAACAGACGGAGCAAUUGCAAGAGGAGCUUGGACGUGUGAAUGCAGAGAACCAAAAGCUGAAGGAAAUGCUGAGUGACAUGAACAGUAGCUACACAAACUUGCAUAAGCGUUUUAUAUCCUUAAUGCAACAGCAACAGAACCAAACCACAGAACAUGAUCAGAUUGUCAAAGGAAAAGCUGAGGAGAAAGGAGAUGGUGUGGUGGCUAGAAAGUUCAUGAAUGGUCCAGCAGCAGAAGUAGAUGAUCAGCAAGAGCCUGAACCAUGCACACCUCAGAACAAUCAUAAAGAGCCUGAUCCGGACGCAUCAGAACUAGUACAACUUUUGGACCCAAGUCAGCUUCCCAGAUUAAACCCCUCCAACGCUGCUGAUCAAGCCAAUGCAGAAGCCACUAUGAGAAAAGCACGAGUCUCAGUCCGUGCUAGAUCAGAAGCCCACAUGGUAUAGUAUAUUAGUGUGCAUCGAUAAUAGAAAUCUAAUUCAAUUAUAUCAUUGAUUACUUAUAGCUGAAUUGAUUAACUAAUUGAUCACAAUUGCAGAUCAACGAUGGAUGCCAAUGGCGAAAAUACGGACAAAAAAUGGCUAAAGGAAACCCUUGUCCUCGUGCGUAUUAUAGAUGCACAAUGGCUCUUGGUUAAGUAUAUAUUUUGGAGUUCUUCAUUGCAGGAAGGAAGUAGAUGGAGGCAUUACUUUAAUUAAGUAUAUCUUCCCAACAUAUUGUUAGUUUAGCUUGUUAAGUUCAUGUACAUUUAUACUUUUUUGCUUUCUUUUUAAUGAGUCGGGCCCAUCUGUCUUUCUUCUAACUGUAUUAUUUACUUUUGGUGCUUUUAACUACAGUGUGUCUAUAUUAGGAAUUGGUUUCAAUUUGUGUAUAGUGAUCUUAAUAUUAAUAAGAAUUUGAGAUUGAAUCAAUUGUUUGUGUUUUACU
This is an RNA transcript of Medicago truncatula (barrel medic), 1227 nucleotides long. It is a transcript of the gene named histidine--tRNA ligase, cytoplasmic, with no coding region annotated. The transcript has 5 exons. NCBI's taxonomy places the organism in Eukaryota, Viridiplantae, Streptophyta, Magnoliopsida, Fabales, Fabaceae. The record is from RefSeq and is a predicted model, not a curated record.